CAGCAGCCACGGUAAUACGAAGGGUGCAAGCGUUAAUCGGAAUUACUGGGCGUAAAGCGUGCGUAGGCGGUUUGUUAAGUCUGCUGUGAAAUCCCCGGGCUCAACCUGGGAAUGGCAGUGGAUACUGGCAAGCUAGAGUGUGUCAGAGGAUGGUGGAAUUCCCGGUGUAGCGGUGAAAUGCGUAGAGAUCGGGAGGAACAUCAGUGGCGAAGGCGGCCAUCUGGGACAACACUGACGCUCAUGCACGAAAGCGUGGGGAGCAAACAGGAUUAGAUACCCCAGUAGUCCCUGUCUCUUAUAU
RNAcentral lists this ribosomal RNA (301 nucleotides) under uncultured bacterium. RNAcentral describes it as "partial 16S ribosomal RNA". It matches the Rfam family "Bacterial small subunit ribosomal RNA", at positions 509 to 809 of the family's 1533-position model. The record is from RNAcentral.